UAACCAAGAUAAAUGCUAUUUGGUUUCAGGU
This 31-nucleotide non-coding RNA is filed under the name Rattus norvegicus (Norway rat). The record is from RNAcentral. Lineage: Eukaryota; Metazoa; Chordata; Mammalia; Rodentia; Muridae.